CCUACGGUGGGCAGCAGUGGGGAAUAUUGGACAAUGGGGGGAACCCUGAUCCAGCCAUGCCGCGUGUGUGAAGAAGGCCCUCGGGUUGUAAAGCACUUUCAGUGAGGAAGAACGCCUGGUGGUUAAUACCCAUCAGGAAAGACAUCACUCACAGAAGAAGCACCGGCUAACUCCGUGCCAGCAGCCGCGGUAAUACGGAGGGUGCGAGCGUUAAUCGGAAUUACUGGGCGUAAAGCGCGCGUAGGUGGCUUGAUAAGCCGGUUGUGAAAGCCCCGGGCUCAACCUGGGAACGGCAUCCGGAACUGUCAAGCUAGAGUGCAGGAGAGGAAGGUAGAAUUCCCGGUGUAGCGGUGAAAUGCGUAGAGAUCGGGAGGAAUACCAGUGGCGAAGGCGGCCUUCUGGACUGACACUGACACUGAGGUGCGAAAGCGUGGGUAGCAAACAGGAUUAGAUACCCCAGUAGUC
RNAcentral lists this ribosomal RNA (465 nucleotides) under Vreelandella stevensii. Its description in RNAcentral is "partial 16S ribosomal RNA". It matches the Rfam family "Bacterial small subunit ribosomal RNA", at positions 338 to 795 of the family's 1533-position model. The record is from RNAcentral. Lineage: Bacteria; Pseudomonadati; Pseudomonadota; Gammaproteobacteria; Oceanospirillales; Halomonadaceae.